GGGCGUAUGGUCUAGUGGUAUGAUUUCUGUUUUGCAAUGAAAAUUUCUUACAGAAGGUCCCGCGUUCAAUCCGCGGUGCGUCCA
This is a non-coding RNA of Staphylotrichum longicolle, 84 nucleotides long. The record is from the annotation of a GenBank genome assembly. Lineage: Eukaryota; Fungi; Ascomycota; Sordariomycetes; Sordariales; Chaetomiaceae.